This 253-nucleotide ribosomal RNA is filed under the name uncultured bacterium. RNAcentral describes it as "partial 16S ribosomal RNA". It matches the Rfam family "Bacterial small subunit ribosomal RNA", at positions 524 to 776 of the family's 1533-position model. The record is from RNAcentral.
UACGUAGGGGGCUAGCGUUGUCCGGAAUCAUUGGGCGUAAAGAGCGUGUAGGCGGUCCGGUAAGUCCGCUGUGAAAGUCGGGGGCUCAACCCUCGAAUGCCGGCGGAUACUGUCGGGCUAGAGUGCGGAAGAGGCGAGUGGAAUUCCUGGUGUAGCGGUGAAAUGCGCAGAUAUCAGGAGGAACACCUAUUGCGAAGGCAGCUCGCUGGGACGUAACUGACGCUGAGAUGCGAAAGCGUGGGGAGCAAACAGG